This 1554-nucleotide ribosomal RNA is filed under the name Staphylococcus aureus. RNAcentral's name for it is "16S ribosomal RNA". It matches the Rfam family "Bacterial small subunit ribosomal RNA". Lineage: Bacteria; Bacillati; Bacillota; Bacilli; Caryophanales; Staphylococcaceae. The record is from RNAcentral.
UUUAUGGAGAGUUUGAUCCUGGCUCAGGAUGAACGCUGGCGGCGUGCCUAAUACAUGCAAGUCGAGCGAACGGACGAGAAGCUUGCUUCUCUGAUGUUAGCGGCGGACGGGUGAGUAACACGUGGAUAACCUACCCAUAAGACUGGGAUAACUUCGGGAAACCGGAGCUAAUACCGGAUAAUAUUUUGAACCGCAUGGUUCAAAAGUGAAAGACGGUCUUGCUGUCACUUAUGGAUGGAUCCGCGCUGCAUUAGCUAGUUGGUAAGGUAACGGCUUACCAAGGCAACGAUGCAUAGCCGACCUGAGAGGGUGAUCGGCCACACUGGAACUGAGACACGGUCCAGACUCCUACGGGAGGCAGCAGUAGGGAAUCUUCCGCAAUGGGCGAAAGCCUGACGGAGCAACGCCGCGUGAGUGAUGAAGGUCUUCGGAUCGUAAAACUCUGUUAUUAGGGAAGAACAUAUGUGUAAGUAACUGUGCACAUCUUGACGGUACCUAAUCAGAAAGCCACGGCUAACUACGUGCCAGCAGCCGCGGUAAUACGUAGGUGGCAAGCGUUAUCCGGAAUUAUUGGGCGUAAAGCGCGCGUAGGCGGUUUUUUAAGUCUGAUGUGAAAGCCCACGGCUCAACCGUGGAGGGUCAUUGGAAACUGGAAAACUUGAGUGCAGAAGAGGAAAGUGGAAUUCCAUGUGUAGCGGUGAAAUGCGCAGAGAUAUGGAGGAACACCAGUGGCGAAGGCGACUUUCUGGUCUGUAACUGACGCUGAUGUGCGAAAGCGUGGGGAUCAAACAGGAUUAGAUACCCUGGUAGUCCACGCCGUAAACGAUGAGUGCUAAGUGUUAGGGGGUUUCCGCCCCUUAGUGCUGCAGCUAACGCAUUAAGCACUCCGCCUGGGGAGUACGACCGCAAGGUUGAAACUCAAAGGAAUUGACGGGGACCCGCACAAGCGGUGGAGCAUGUGGUUUAAUUCGAAGCAACGCGAAGAACCUUACCAAAUCUUGACAUCCUUUGACAACUCUAGAGAUAGAGCCUUCCCCUUCGGGGGACAAAGUGACAGGUGGUGCAUGGUUGUCGUCAGCUCGUGUCGUGAGAUGUUGGGUUAAGUCCCGCAACGAGCGCAACCCUUAAGCUUAGUUGCCAUCAUUAAGUUGGGCACUCUAAGUUGACUGCCGGUGACAAACCGGAGGAAGGUGGGGAUGACGUCAAAUCAUCAUGCCCCUUAUGAUUUGGGCUACACACGUGCUACAAUGGACAAUACAAAGGGCAGCGAAACCGCGAGGUCAAGCAAAUCCCAUAAAGUUGUUCUCAGUUCGGAUUGUAGUCUGCAACUCGACUACAUGAAGCUGGAAUCGCUAGUAAUCGUAGAUCAGCAUGCUACGGUGAAUACGUUCCCGGGUCUUGUACACACCGCCCGUCACACCACGAGAGUUUGUAACACCCGAAGCCGGUGGAGUAACCUUUUAGGAGCUAGCCGUCGAAGGUGGGACAAAUGAUUGGGGUGAAGUCGUAACAAGGUAGCCGUAUCGGAAGGUGCGGCUGGAUCACCUCCUUUCU